GGCGGCGUGCUUAACACAUGCAAGUCGAACGAAAAGAGGGGAAGAGCUUGCNCUUUUCAGAAUUGAGUGGCAAACGGGUGAGUAACACGUAAACAACCUGCCUUCAGGAUGGGGACAACAGACGGAAACGACUGCUAAUACCGAAUAAGUUCCAAGAGCCGCAUGGCCCAUGGAAGAAAAGGUGGCCUCUACCUGUAAGCUAUCGCCUGAAGAGGGGUUUGCGUCUGAUUAGGCAGUUGGUGAGGUAACGGCCCACCAAACCUACGAUCAGUAGCCGGUCUGAGAGGAUGAACGGCCACACUGGAACUGAGACACGGUCCAGACUCCUACGGGAGGCAGCAGUGGGGAAUCUUCCGCAAUGGACGAAAGUCUGACGGAGCAACGCCGCGUGAGUGAUGACGGCCUUCGGGUUGUAAAGCUCUGUGAUCGGGGACGAAUGGCUGGUAUGCUAAUACCAUAUCAGAGUGACGGUACCCGAAUAGCAAGCCACGGCUAACUACGUG
This 503-nucleotide ribosomal RNA is filed under the name uncultured bacterium. Its description in RNAcentral is "bacterial SSU rRNA". It matches the Rfam family "Bacterial small subunit ribosomal RNA", at positions 38 to 507 of the family's 1533-position model. The record is from RNAcentral.